AGCGAACGCUAGCGGAUGGCUUAACACAUGCAAGUCGAGCGGGCAGCUUCGGCUGUCUAGCGGCGAACGGGUGCGUAACACGUGGGUAAUCUGCCUUCUGGUGGGGGAUAACCCGACGAAAGUCGGGCUAAUACCGCAUAUGGCCUACGGGUCAAAGCAGCAAUGCGCCAGUUGAUGAGCCCGCGGCCCAUUAUUUAAUCCUAGUUGGCGGGGUAACGGCCCACCAAGGGUACGAUGGGUAGCUGGUCUGAGAGGACGAUCAGCCACACUGGGACUGAGACACGGCCCAGACUCCUACGGGAGGCAGCAGUGGGGGAAUAUUGCGCAAUGGGCGAAAGCCUGACGCAGCCAAUCCGCGUGGGGUGAUGAAGGCCUUCGGUUGUAAAGCCUCGUCGUGAGGGACGGAAGUCUGACGGUACCUCACAAGAAAGACACCGGCUAACCCCGUCGCCAGC
Molecule: ribosomal RNA, 455 nt
Filed under: uncultured bacterium
Lineage: Bacteria
Description: bacterial SSU rRNA
Rfam family: Bacterial small subunit ribosomal RNA
Source: RNAcentral